UGUGAUUUUAGGCUGAUUAUUUGGUACU
RNAcentral lists this non-coding RNA (28 nucleotides) under Mus musculus (house mouse). Lineage: Eukaryota; Metazoa; Chordata; Mammalia; Rodentia; Muridae. The record is from RNAcentral.